This 373-nucleotide ribosomal RNA is filed under the name uncultured organism. RNAcentral's name for it is "partial 16S ribosomal RNA". It matches the Rfam family "Bacterial small subunit ribosomal RNA", at positions 527 to 896 of the family's 1533-position model. The record is from RNAcentral.
GUAGGGGGCAAGCGUUGUCCGGAAUUAUUGGGCGUAAAGCGCGCGCAGGCGGUCUCUUAAGUCCGAUGUGAAAGCCCACGGCUCAACCGUGGAGGGUCAUUGGAAACUGGGGGACUUGAGUGUAGGAGAGGAAAGUGGAAUUCCACGUGUAGCGGUGAAAUGCGUAGAUAUGUGGAGGAACACCAGUGGCGAAGGCGACUUUCAGGCCUACAACUGACGCUGAGGUGCGAAAGCGUGGGGAGCAAACAGGGAUUAGAUACCCUGGUAGUCCACGCCGUAAACGAUGAGUGCUAGGUGUUAGGGGUUUCGAUGCCCCUUAGUGCCGAAGUUAACACAUUAAGCACUCCGCCUGGGGAGUACGACCGCAAGGUUG